Molecule: non-coding RNA, 199 nt
Organism: Myotis lucifugus (little brown bat)
Lineage: Eukaryota; Metazoa; Chordata; Mammalia; Chiroptera; Vespertilionidae
Source: Rfam
AUCGCUUCUCGGCCUUUUGGCUAAGAUCAAGUGUAGUAUCUGUUCUUAUCAGUUUAAUAAUAAUGUAAAUACUCGUUUGAUAUUCACAAAAGCCCUACAGAGUCAUUAUCACUAUUUUCUAUACUGAAGAAACUGAGACUCAGAAAAGAAACUUGCCCAAGGUCAACAGCCAUUUCAUUUUUGUUUGAUCUAAAAGCCC